AUCUAGCCCUGCUAGUCGCACGAGUUCAGACUCGUGGCGAAUAGCUCAGUAACACGUGGUAAACUACCCUUCGGAACACAAUACCCUCGGGAAACUGAGGCUAAUAGUGUAUACCAUACCACCACUGGAAUGAGUGGUAUGCCAAACGCUCCGGCGCCGAAGGAUGUGGCUGCGGCCGAUUAGGUAGACGGUGGGGUAACGGCCCACCGUGCCAAUAAUCGGUAUGGGUCAUGAGAGUGAGAACCCAGAGACGGAAUCUGAGACAAGAUUCCGGGCCCUACGGGGCGCAGCAGGCGCGAAACCUUUACACUGCACGACAGUGCGAUAGGGGGAUCCCAAGUGCACAGGCAUAGCGCCUGUGCUUUUCGGUACCCUAAGGCGGUACCAGAAUAAGGGCUGGGCAAGACCGGUGCCAGCCGCCGCGGUAAUACCGGCAGCCCAAGUGAUGGCCGAUCUUAUUGGGCCUAAAGCGUCCGUAGCUGGCCGCGCAAGUCCAUCGGGAAAUCCACCUGCUCAACAGGUGGGCGCCCGGUAGAAACUGCGUGGCUUGGGACCGGAAGGCGCGACGGGUACGUCCGGGGUAGGAGUGAAAUCCCGUAAUCCUGGACGGACCGCCGAUGGCGAAAGCACGUCGCGAGAACGGAUCCGACAGUGAGGGACGAAAGCCAGGGUCUCGAACCGGAUUAGAUACCCGGGUAGUCCUGGCCGUAAACAAUGUCUGCUAGGUGUGGCUCCCACUACGAGUGGGUGCUGUGCCGCAGGGAAGCCGCUAAGCAGACCGCCUGGGAAGUACGUCCGCAAGGAUGAAACUUAAAGGAAUUGGCGGGGGAGCACUACAACCGGAGGAGCCUGCGGUUUAAUUGGACUCAACGCCGGGACAUCUCACCAGCAUCGACUGUAGUAAUGACGAUCAGGUUGAUGAUCU
This 925-nucleotide ribosomal RNA is filed under the name archaeon OC13. RNAcentral describes it as "bacterial SSU rRNA". It matches the Rfam family "Archaeal small subunit ribosomal RNA", at positions 43 to 968 of the family's 1478-position model. The record is from RNAcentral.